Papaver somniferum (opium poppy) is the source of this 2128-nucleotide long non-coding RNA. RefSeq lists it as uncharacterized. The record is from RefSeq and is a predicted model, not a curated record. The transcript has 9 exons. NCBI's taxonomy places the organism in Eukaryota, Viridiplantae, Streptophyta, Magnoliopsida, Ranunculales, Papaveraceae.
CCUCUCUCUCUCAUUUGGCCUCAUCUCUAUUCUCUUCAUAAACACAAACGAAAUUGAAGAUCCAUCGAAAAAAUCAAUCAAUAACAUCAGCUCUUCUCUAUUCUCCUCAUCAACACCAGCUGAAAACGAAGAUUCAUCAGCUCUUCUCGAUGCUCAUCAUUAACAAAAUCCAUCAGCAGAUCAGUUCUUGAGGAUUUGUUGUGAAUCGAUGAAGAACAUUCAAUGAGGAGCACCAACAAUAUUCGAGAGUAAUUGUGUGUUGUCUAAAGCAAUUAGUAAUUGUACCGAAACUCAAGAUUAUACCUCUUCGUUUGUAUGUUGUUGUUGUUAAUUCCAGAAAUUUGUAUGAAUGGGUGUGUAUACUUAGCUCAGCAAUGGAUUUACUUAUAAUAGUAUAGAAGUUGAUUAAUCUAAACACCAAACCCGCAGUUUGAGUGUUUUUGUCAUUGAAUGGGACACACCAACAGAUUUGAAUAACAAGUUCCACUUCCGGGCCUACCAAAAACAAAAAAUCUUCAUAUAUUUUAAGCUAUGAGGUGGUUCAAUACAUGCUAGGAUUUAUUUUAUCAUAAGAUUGAGUAUCGAUCAUACCCCUAUUACACUUGAGAUAACACUAUUAUCUGCUCAUACAGCUGAUGGAAUCAUUGCUUGGCGAGGUUAGGGAGGAGUUCGAACAUCGCUUGGCGACCCAUAAUGAACCGAUAAGCUUCUCUUUGCUUUUUUAGUAAUAAAGAAACAAGAGAUUUCUAGUAAUAAAGAAACAUAAGUAUUGUAGAUUGUUUGGCAGGUGGUGGUGGUAGAUACCACGGAGGAGGAGAUCAGGGAGGGUGUCUUGGUGAUGGAUAUCAAGGUGGGGGAGAUCAAAAAGAAACAAGAGAUUUCUUAGUAACAAAGUAACAUGUUUUGCAUGUGGUGGUGGUGGAUACCAAGGAGGAGGAGAUUGGGAAGGGUGUCUUGGUGGGGGAGAACCGGGAGAUGAUGGAGGUAGUGGUAGCGGAAGAGAUGGUGAUUGGAUGUGCCCUAAUUCAAGUAUCUUGGAAGAUGGAAGAUGUUUGCGGAUAUACCUGCCAUUUGAUCAGGAUCCAUUGAUAGUUUGUUUCUAAAUCAUCCUGAUUUUGUGCAUUGAACGGAUGACAUCUGCUGAAUCAUCUAGAACGACACUUGUGUCUCAUUUAAAAGAGGCUCUCCAGUGGCAGGAGUUUGAGCUGGAACAAGUACGCAUUCUGCUUCAGUUGUGUUUUUCUAGGAGUUUGGAGAAGGAGCAUACUUGGAAGUGUACAAGGAACUUAAAGCAUGGCAACUUGAAGGCUGCAAGUGUGGGGAGUGAUGCUUAGAUGUCUUGGAGGGUAAAGUGCGAUAAUGUGCAACUGAGCAAAAAUGGGAGGCUUCUUUGUUCAAUGUGCACUUCAUAGCUGCAGAGGACAAUGACGAAGAUGCUGAUGCACAAGAGGGUGGGGGAAUUUUACCUAGUGCAGAACCAUACUUUGCUGAGAUUCAGAAGAAGCAAAAACUGAUCAAAGAUUUGCAAGAUGCGGGGUACUCCCCCAGCAAACACAGAUGCAUUGAUUGAAGCAUUUGGAAAGGAUUCUGCGCAUGCUAAAGUUUAUGAGUUUAGAAACUGAACUUCAUUAGGUAUAUUGAUUGUAUGUUAUUGGCCUGAAUAAAUUGUUCAAGUGGAAGACUUUGUUGUUUAGUGCGCAUUCAAUGUGUCUCUCAGUAGCCUGGAUUUGGCCUGAAAACAUUACAGGAAACUCUUGACUGAGUCAAUGACUAGUUGACUUGACGUUUUUUUCAUGUUGCGCCACAGCCAAAACCGUUGCAAAGCCAGGGAAAAAGAACCUUGGGUGAACCAGAAAACGUUGCGAAAUAAAUUCGCAACGGCUCCCGAGCUGUUGCAAAUAAUAUGCAACGCCACAUUUCGCAACGGAUUUCUGCUGUUGCAAGUAAUUUUUGCAACUGCAUUGCUAUUUUGGAAAUAUGGUGUAGUGAUAGCAUAUACAAAAGGGGUUAGCAAUAGGCAAAGUUCUAUGUUAUUUAUGUCGAAUAUUUGGUUGAAAUGUGCAUUAAUUUGAUCUGUAUGUAGUUCCCUGUCAUCUAAUUUCUCUUGUAUGUGAAUCUAUUUUACCAA